UUCAAACGUGGUUAGUUUUAAGUAAUUUUUAGACCAUUUUAGGGUUGUGAGACCCUACAAGUCAAGAAUGUGAGGCACCUGUAAGGUCAAAAGGGAAACAGAGUUUCCUUUUCUGAGCUUCCAGCCAAUGUGUUAGAGAACCGACAGAUGUAAAUAGUGUGAACAUGAGGUUAAUAGAGUAAUUCCAUAAAAUGGGCCCACUGUGCUGAUGCCCAUAAGCUUUUUUUUUUUUUUAAUUCCCAAGAAGUGAACAGGAUUAUGUCACAUUUUUCAGCAAAAUACCUGUUAACUGCAGGAGAAAUUGCAGGCUCGAGAUAAUAUCAACAGAAGGAACCCAGAAGACUUUUAAUAAAGAGAGAUAAGAAUAAUUUCUCCUAACAACAGAAUCUGUAAAGAUUGUAUGGUUAAGAAUCCAAUUAGAACCAGUUAGCACGGGCCAAGGUGACCUAGAGUUGCCACGGCAGUGGGUACUUGAAAGUCCCAUGUCAUCUUGCUGUCAAUCAAAAGUCAAGAGGUGGACCUGGGUGGGACUCUCUGGAAACUUCCCUAGGAUGCCCAAUAAAACUGAAGUGCAGGGGAGGCACAUUGUCCCUCUCUUCUCUGAGAUGACCCACUCUUUCCCUUGAGAAUGUCCCCUUCCCCUUUCCCUAUUCCUUCAAUAAACGUACACCUAUACCUCUGAGCGACAUGUCUGAAAUUUUUCUGACAUGGUUGCAAGAAUUGGGGUAUGACAGGGGGACAUUGCGUUGCCUCCAGUUCUCAGAAGGCCCCAGCUCUGUAACAAGUGAAUACCAUCUUGCCCCACCUUCGCUGGGGCAAAAGAAAAUACUGAUUUAUUUGUAGUUUCUACCAUUUAAAAAAAAAAUCAAUGGAUUUAGGAAACUUCUAUAUUAAGUUUAUUUCAUUUGAUUUCUUUGGGUGAGUAAUCAGGCCUUAUCCUUAGUCACUGGAUGAGGGUGGGCAGAUGGGGGGAUGAGGACAGUUGGAGGAAUACAGUUUGGAGCCUGGCCCACUUCAUCAAAAGGGAGAGACAAGCAAUUAAACUAAGCAGUAUUUAAAGAGCACUGAGUCUCUGAAAUUUAAGUUCUGGAAUCCAAGUUUUCUGGCCUUUAGGGCAUUGAGCAAAAUCCACAUGGUUAGUUAGGCGUUUGGUAGAUGGACGUGGGAGGAUUGGAUUAGAACAUAAAAAAAAAGCUUGGUAAGUUGUUCUUGAGUAUAAUUUACUUAAUUGUUUCUGGCCUGGUAAGUAUACCCACAGGCUUUAUAUUGAUGCAUGCGAUUCAACAAAAACAAAAAACAGUAAGAUCUUCAUCGACUUGUGGUUUAAUGGCUUUAAAUAAAUUAACUUCUUUUGGAUCAAUUCAGCACACUGAUGAUAUUUGCAAUCUAUUAACUUUUUUAUAAUACUUUUCCCCUAAGACACAACUUUAACAUGUAACUUUGAAGAAAUCAUUUUACAUCCAUCAAGCAAAGGUAUUGUUUUCUACAUGCAGAGAACUUCAAAAUGCAUAGUCAUGCACAUAAAAAAAAAAGCAUCUAUAAAAAAAGCUGGGCCCCAGCCCCAGAUUCCAAUUUGAGAGUUAGACUCUCAUGCUAAUUAUCAAUUGAAAUAGAGUCUGUUUUAUAAAAGAAAAAAAGAAAGGAAUUUGAUGAAAGGUGAAGAGUAUGUUUUAUGGGUGAGCAGUCAGUUGUGUAUCAAAUUGUGUAACUACUAUAGAUUGGAUUGUAUCCCCCACAUGCCCAAUGCAUAUAUCUCAACCCUCAAUGUGAUUAUUUUUGGAGAUAGGGUUUUAGGAGGUAAUUAAGGUGAAAGAGGUGGUAAAAGUGGGGUACUGAUCCAGUAGGAAUGAAUGCAUGUUCUCACACAUGCAUGGAAGGAAAGAAGGCACUGUUGGCAAGUCAGGAAGAGAGCCCACACCAGAAACCCAAUCAUCUGGCUUCCUUGAUCUUGGACUUCCUAACCUCUGAACUGUGAAAAUAUUAACUUCUGAUUGUCAAUUUUAGUCUAUGAUAUUUUGUUAUGGCAGCUCAAGCAGACUAAUACAAUAAAUCGCAGCAAGAUACUCAGUGUUUCUGGACCUCCAUAUCCUAAUAUGUAAAACUUGUGGAUCAGGCUAAAUAAGCCUAAGUUUU
RNAcentral lists this long non-coding RNA (2133 nucleotides) under Marmota monax (woodchuck). The record is from RNAcentral. Lineage: Eukaryota; Metazoa; Chordata; Mammalia; Rodentia; Sciuridae.